GAUGAACGCUAGCGAGACGCUUAACACAUGCAAGUCGAAUGUAGAUUUAUCUACAUGGCAGACGGGUGAGUAACACGUGCUUAAUUUACCCCGGAGUGGGGGACAACAUCGGAAACGGUGAUAAUCCCGCAUACGUUCCACAAAAUGAAAAUAUGUGGAAGAAAGAUUUAUCGCUCUGGGAGGAGGGCGCGGCUGACUAGUUAGUUGGUGAGGUAAUGGCUCACCAAGACGAUGAUCAGUAGCUGGUCUGAGAGGACGAACAGCCACAAUGGGACUGAGACAAGGCCCAUACCCCUACGGGGGCAGCAGUGGGGAAUUUUGGACAAUGGGCGCAAGCCUGAUCCAGCAAUGCCGCGUGCGGGAAGAAGGCCUGGUUGUAACGCUUUGUCAGGAGAA
Molecule: ribosomal RNA, 396 nt
Filed under: uncultured bacterium
Lineage: Bacteria
Description: bacterial SSU rRNA
Rfam family: Bacterial small subunit ribosomal RNA
Source: RNAcentral